AGCAAAGCACCAGGGGCAUCAAUAUACAAUAGGUACCCUUCAGUACAGGUGGAGAAUGACCUUGAUAAGCAUUCACCCUGGGCAGGAUCUCAUGUAUUAAAUGCAAGACAACCAUAACCUGUUGAAAAUCUGUGAAUGGGGAUUCACAGGGCCAAGCCUGGAGUUCACACAUUCUCCUUGCUGAGGUACCAGUCACCAGCACUUUCUGUGCUACCACCAUGGAAGCUCCUGCUAGAGGUUCAAAUAAUGGUUCAAUCAGAGCCCGUGAGACCACUGGUACGGCACAUAUUGGCUUCACCACCUUUAGUGGAGGCUUGAGAUCAAUCAAUGGUUACAAGAAGCAAAGCAUCAGGGGCUCCAAUGUUCAAUGGGCACCUAUCUAUGUGGGAAGUGCAGAUAUGGGCUCCUCUAGAGUGUUAUAACUCAGACCCUUU
This is a non-coding RNA of Pelobates cultripes (western spadefoot toad), 434 nucleotides long. The record is from the annotation of a GenBank genome assembly. Lineage: Eukaryota; Metazoa; Chordata; Amphibia; Anura; Pelobatidae.